GACGAACGCUGGCGGCGUGCUUAACACAUGCAAGUCGAGCGGUAAGGCCCUUUCGGGGGGUACACGAGCGGCGAACGGGUGAGUAACACGUGGGUGACCUGCCCUCAGCUCUGGGAUAAGCCUGGGAAACCGGGUCUAAUACUGGAUAUGACUCCAUGACGCAUGUUGUGGGGUGGAAAGCCUUGUGCGGCUGAGGAUGGGCCCGCGGCCUAUCAGCUUGUUGGCGGGGUGAUGGCCUACCAAGGCGACGACGGGUAGCCGGCCUGAGAGGGCGACCGGCCACACUGGGACUGAGACACGGCCCAGACUCCUACGGGAGGCAGCAGUGGGGAAUAUUGGACAAUGGGCGCAAGCCUGAUCCAGCCAUGCCGCGUGAGUGAAG
This 382-nucleotide ribosomal RNA is filed under the name uncultured bacterium. RNAcentral's name for it is "bacterial SSU rRNA". It matches the Rfam family "Bacterial small subunit ribosomal RNA", at positions 28 to 410 of the family's 1533-position model. The record is from RNAcentral.